This 434-nucleotide ribosomal RNA is filed under the name uncultured bacterium. RNAcentral's name for it is "partial 16S ribosomal RNA". It matches the Rfam family "Bacterial small subunit ribosomal RNA", at positions 29 to 507 of the family's 1533-position model. The record is from RNAcentral.
AACGAACGCUGGCGGCAGGCCUAACACAUGCAAGUCGAGCGAGGACUUCGGUCCUAGCGGCGGACGGGUGAGUAACGCGUGGGAACGUGCCCUUUGCUUCGGAAUAGCCCUGGGAAACUGGGAGUAAUACCGGAUGAGCCCUUUGGGGGAAAGAUUUAUCGGCGAAGGAUCGGCCCGCGUUGGAUUAGGUAGUUGGUGGGGUAAUGGCCUACCAAGCCGACGAUCCAUAGCUGGUUUGAGAGGAUGAUCAGCCACACUGGGACUGAGACACGGCCCAGACUCCUACGGGAGGCAGCAGUGGGGAAAUCUUAGACAAUGGGGGAAACCCUGAUCUAGCCAUGCCGCGUGAGCGAUGAAGGCCUUAGGGUUGUAAAGCUCUUUCAGCUGGGAAGAUAAUGACGGUACCAGCAGAAGAAGCCCCGGCUAACUCCGUG